CAGUGGGCUGUGAUAUGAUCAAGAAACAAUCCUGUUACUAGUUGCAUGUCACUGAGAGUUUGGGAUUGUUACAUCCCUGACUCUGCUCUGACUAAUACAAAAUCUGCUGAAUAGAAGAACUCAAAUGAACCCAGCUGUUUAGGGAUUUUUUAAUGUCAUGUGUGGGAAAGAACAAGAUUGCUUGAUUUCCAGGAAGUUUAGAAAAAUGAAAGUGAGAGAGAAUCCCAUGGACAGCUUUCACUAAGAAGGCCCCAAGCCGGGACUGAGUCAGAGGGAGACGGUCACAACGAAGGAAGGCACAUUGUCUUAUUCCUGGGACACGCGAAGGCUGAUUCCAGUGGGUGUGGUUUUACCCAGGAUGUAUCUCAGGACUGACUUUAGUCCUAUUUGGAAAGAAACUUAGGCUUAAACCAUGAAAAGGUUCAUUUUUCUCUCAAGCUCAGAGUUAUGCAGUCCAAGGCAUUAUGAGAUCCAGCGUGACAUCAGGGACCUCGGCUUUCCCUUAUUCCUCCUAUACAGAUAAUCCAAAAAUCCAAGGCAAUUUCAUCAUCUUCCUUGCAGCCAAGGGCAGCCAAAUGAUUCAGGGACUAGAACAGCCCAAACAACCAUCUAUUCAUCCGCGUAACAAAUACGCAUUGAGUUCUUAUUAAUUCAUUCAAGAACACCUUCUAUGUACCAGGCAUUGUGCCAGGUCUGGGGAUACAGUGGUGAUACAAUGAUCCCGGAUUUUAUUGACAAUGGGAGAGAGAAAUAAUGACAAACAAGAGCCCAGAAGGAAAAGCACAGGAUCUGUGAGGUGCAAAACAGGAGGCCUGCUCUUUUCUCAAAUGGCCACAGAAGCUUCCUUGAGAAAUGCUGUCUGACCUGAAGGAUGAGCAGGAGUCACGGAGUGUAUGCGUGCAUGUGCGCAUGUGCGUAUGUACCAAGUAUGUGUGCACACAGAACAUUCCAGAUAAUGGAGGAAGAGCAUGUCACCUCCAAAGGCACAGAGACGGCCAGGAUGUAAGAAAGAUGGACAGGAGAACACAGGGAAAAUGGGAGAUGUCCCCAACCUCAAGGGACUUUGCUUUAGAGAGGAGUGGAGGACACCUGGUUAUAAAUAAAUCCAGUGAAGAAUUGAAUGACAAGAGCCCCUGGGUAAUGACAAAGUGCAAGAGGAAUGUAAAAUGAAUCCCCGGAGCUUUAACUUCUUUGUGUAAAUAGGUGCUUGAUUUGUUUAUUUCCUUCAUUUGUUUUAAUAAAACAGUACUACGAUCCUUCUUAACUCUUCGCUGCCCUUCAGCAUGUCCACUGUUACUGUCUUG
This is a long non-coding RNA of Chinchilla lanigera (long-tailed chinchilla), 1304 nucleotides long. RefSeq lists it as uncharacterized. The transcript is spliced from 3 exons. NCBI's taxonomy places the organism in Eukaryota, Metazoa, Chordata, Mammalia, Rodentia, Chinchillidae. The record is from RefSeq and is a predicted model, not a curated record.